GCGAUUCGCCACGGCCGCCAGAAGUAGUCACCGAGUCGGAAGCAACAUGUGCUGUACACGCGAUUCCGAGUUGAGUGCGGUUAGGGUUUUUGACGCUCGUGCCGCCGCCGCUGCCGCCGUUACGGCGCUCUGCCGUUAACCACCGUUGGUAAUAUUAUUAUUAUUAUUAGUGUCCUGACCUUUUUGUUCGCGAGUCUCUAAACGCUUCCGGUUAUUGUAGGUAUCUAAAUAGCGUAUAAUAUUGUGUUUUCGGUUUUUGUUCGUUUAUUUUUGGGUUUCAUCCCCGUCGAAGGAUUAUUUUAAUUUAUAAUAUACAAUUUGAAAGAUCCAAAAACUAGCUUAUCGGUACAAAAAUAAUUUUUACGGCGCCGUCAUGUUUCCGGGUGGCUGUUGUGACGAUUCCGCGAUCGUACCAUCGUCCAUGUACCCGAGCUGCACGCCUAUGCAGCACGGCGUAACCGGUUUCGCCCCGGCCUUAGACCGCCAUCGUCAUCCAUACGUGCCACAUCUUCAGCAGCAGCAGCACCACCACCAAAGAAACCUGCAACUGCCGUACCACCAACUCCAUGACCCCCCGAUGCAGCACCACGACAACACAAAUCUGUGCUCCGCGAUGUCGUCGUCUCCGAUCGCGCCGCUGGACAACGGUUACCGGUCCAUGUCGUCCUCGCUGUCGUCGCCCAUGUCAUCCUCUUCGUCAAUGUCGCCCAUGUCUUAUCGCCCCGGCUACUCGCCUAAUGAGGACCCUUACGGCGUUCCCGCUCAUCCAUCGGUGGCCGACUUUCCGCCGCAGCCGCACAACCAAUAUUACAACGCUUAUGAAAAUAAUCAUCCCCCGGCAGUCGGCCUUAACGACCCUCAUGUGCCGUUGUCCACUCAGCCGCCGAGCCAAGCUUUACAAAACUACAACAACAACAACUAUUACAACAACUACAACAAUAACAACAUAAAAUACAACAACAUCAACAACAACAAUAAUACCUACACCGAUCGCUACGAAUGCCAGGACUCGCAGCUGAUCGUCGAUAAACCCACCGGAAACAAUUCCAGCCGACAGAGUCGAAAUUUGGCAGAAAAACACCGACGAAACAAGUUGAAUACUUGUAUCACAGAACUUUCACAACUUGUUCCACUGAUAUCAAAUUCUUCUAAAAAAAUUGAAAAAACUAGUGUUCUUAGACUCAGUGCUGCAUAUCUCCGGCUAAAUCGAUUAUUAGAAGCACUAAAAGAACGUCGUGAGAAACUACCAGUUUACUUAAAUGAGGUUAAUGUGGCUGAUCUUCUGUUGGACGAUAACGAUAUAUACCUCAUGGUGACAUCAGUUGGAAAAAUAGUAUUUGUUUCGCACUCCGUGGAGAAUAUACUAGGCUUUUCACAGAUCGAUCUCAUGGGCCAAUCACUUUUUAAUUUUGCCUAUCCUAAAGAUCACGAUGAGCUAAAAAAGAACCUCAAGUAUCACGGCGAAAUAUCAAACAGCGCCAUUCUUGCUACUAAUGAUCCUUUACUGAAUUUUAAACAAAUUAGUAAUGAAAAUUAUAAAAUACAACGUCGAUCAUUUUAUUUACGGUUGAUCAAGAAAGUGGUUUCUCGUGAUGAACAACCAGAGUUGGAGCUUGUACAUGUGAUGGGGACGUUAAUGAUUCAAAAAUCCGAUUCAAAAAGUUCUGAAAUCACUGAAAACGAUAUAGUGUUAAAUGCAGUUGUCAGGCCAUUCAAUGAACGACGGGUGACUGAAGUAUCAAUGUUAGAAGCAACUCGCGAAGAAUACAUAACCAGACAUCAAAUUGAUGGCCGUAUAAUAUAUGUUGAUCAUAGAAUUUCUAUUGUAUCUGGAUUCAUGCCUCAAGAAGUAUCUGGACAACUGGCAUUCAAAUACAUGCAUAAAGAUGAUGUACGCUGGGUGAUGAUUGCUCUAAGACAAAUGUAUUUUAAGGGCCAAAGUUUUGGCAGUAGUUGCUAUAGAUUGUUGUCAAAAAAUGGAGAAUUUGUAUAUAUGAGAACACAUGGUUUCUUGCAAUUGAAUCCAAAUGAGGAUACAAUUGAAUCGUUCAUAUGUGUUAAUACUUUGGUUCCCCCAGAACAAGGAAAAAGAGAACUAAUCGAAAUGAAAAAACGGUUUACACCAUUAAUAGUUGCUGCAUCUGAACCUGGAAUUGCUGCAAUAACUAAUAAUCAAUUUAUGGAAAAAGAAUCUACUGUGACAUUGGAAGAUGUUACUGAAGAUCUUAAGACACUAGACAAGGUGGUCGAACAAAUGAUUAUAAAUAUUCCUGAACCGGCAAUGGACAAUUUUAAAGUUACUGCAAAAAAUCCUGGUCCUCUGCCGGAUAACCAGGAGUAUAUGAGGGUUGCACUAUUGUCCAAGUCAAUACCUCCAGUUUCGGUAGCAUCUAAUGCACCAAAAAUAUUUAAACGAACAUCUCUAUCCCCUCAGCCCAAUGUUAAGCCAGUAACUCAGGAUCGGCCAUCUGUACUUCGAGUUGCCCCACCAAUUUCUCGAAAACCUGUACUAGUUUAUAAUCAUCAAACUUAUGAAAAAACUACAGAUAAAGAACGAGCUUAUUUAGAGCGAAGGGGUGGUAUAUUUGUCUUACCUAAAAGACAAAAUGAUUCACAAUUAAUACUAGAUAACUUGCCAAAAAAAGCAAAAAUUGUGUUAGACACACAAGUUGAAUCUCCUGUCUGUAGCAAUUACAGCAACCAACCAGAUUCACUGUAUGACAAUCAGUUAAGCACUAAGGGAUGUAUUGAAAAUUUUUCUAACUUUGAAGAUACUUCAAUCCAACGAAUUUCACACAACAUCGAUGAAUACAAUAAUAUCGAUCCUUUAAUGGCUGAUGUGACGGAUAUUGAUCAUUUUACGAAAACAAUUGGAGAUAACUCUUUGUUCAUGGUACCAGAUAGUUAUGAUUCAUAUAUCAAAGAUGUUUAUGAUGAAGUAAAUCCAAUAGAUAUUCAAGAUCCUUUAAUUCAAGUCCUGCAACAAAACAGGAGCUUAGAAAGUGCAUUGCUUGAGAAAAAGCAGAACACUCUUAAGACAAAAAUGGACCAACAACAAGGUCAGCUGAAAGAAAUCCAAACCGAGUUAAAUUCGCUUCCUUCAAAUGCUAACACUAAAUCUCUAGCUAAACAAUUUUCCCACAUAAAGGAUGAAGUUGAUCAACAACAACAUGCGCUGCAUGAACUACAACUACAAGCGUUAUGUGAACUACAAGGAGUGCAUAAAAACAUUGGAGUGUGAUUAUCAAUACAAUAUUAUGUAACUUAAUAUUUCACUUGAGACACAUAAUAUGAUUGACAUAAUAUAUUUCCAUUCUUAUGAUAAUGCUUUCUUGAGAAAUACAAAUUAAAUAUAGAACGUCAUAACCAAUUUAAAACUGUAAAUUGUAAACUACUUGUUAAUUUGUAUUUAUAUAUAUAUUUAUUUUUUCUUUUAACCUAAAUUUGUUUAGUGUCAUUUGUCUUAUUCCUAAGUUAUCUAUCUGUUAUAGUUUUAGUUAUUAUUACUAUUAUCAUUAUUAUUAUCGUUACCUAGUAUUUAUAUGACACUACUAUAAAGUAGUUACAAAGGCUCCUAAUUUUCUUUACCUUUUGUUGUUUCGUUUUAUAUUAUUUUAUAUGGCAGAUGCUCAAAGAAUUUAAUAGUGACUGACUCGUGUUCAUUAUUAUACAUUUUUAAAAAAAUUUUUUUGUAAUAUUUUAAUAAAGUUAUUAACAAAUCCAAAAAUAUAUUUUUAUAACAUCGCAAAUAACAUUUUUUCAAUAUACCACUGUAACAGGCGGUAAAAAUUAUUAACAAUUUAAAAAAAAAAAAACAUUUUUUAUUAGUGCCAUGAGUUUUCCCAAUGUCAACAUGAAAUGAUCUUAAAAUUAUAUGUUACCACAAUAUCAUCCUUUCCAUACAUAAUUUUAAAUAUACUCUAUUACUAUAUUAGAUUUGUAACAUGU
Myzus persicae (green peach aphid) is the source of this 3948-nucleotide RNA transcript. It is a transcript of the gene named protein similar-like, with no coding region annotated. The transcript is spliced from 16 exons. NCBI's taxonomy places the organism in Eukaryota, Metazoa, Arthropoda, Insecta, Hemiptera, Aphididae. The record is from RefSeq and is a predicted model, not a curated record.